UAACUUUUCUCUCACUCUCUUUUCUUUCUCCCUCACGCGUACACUCUCUUCCUCUCACGCUCGUUUUCUGUCUUCUUCUUCUCUUAUCUUCUUCUUCAUUUUACUUCUUCAGAAAACCUAAGCACCUCAACAUCAUCUUCUUCUUCCUCUCAUGGCAGCCGCCACCAUCACCGCUCCCUCUGCUCACACGAACCGCCACCGGUCACGCCACCAUCACCAUCGUUCCUGUCCUGAUCUUUCUCUUCUUCUCCUUCCAUGUGCAAACCACCAUGGCAUCACCCAAGCUAGCCAGCAGCCACGGUGACGCCGCCACCUCCUUCAGUCCCGCGAGCACCAUCAUCACCAACAUGAUGAGAAACAACAGAGAACAGAGGAGAAAAAUGAAACCCUAGCCGCACCUUCAAAGCCCGAUCUCCGGCGAACCACUGAGUUUUUGGAAAAACCAACCACACCAUGGAACUCCCCUCGCCGUGCGCUGCAAAACCCCUAAAGAAAUUUCCAAUUCCGACGACCUUCGCCGGAAGCCGCCGCCAACCACCGUCUUCUCCGGCCAACCCUCGCCGGAGGACUCACUGAGCUCAGAACCGUGGAGCUCUCCUUCCCCUCUUGUCAAAUUGAUAAUCAAUUUUUGUGUUGUUCAACAUUCAUGGUCCUCAGAGGAAGGCAAAAGCUGCUGUUAGAGAAGAGGAGGAAGCAAAUUCAGAACCUUAGCCAUGAGGCUUAAGGGUAUGAAUAACGGAAGCGCUUGGCGACGAAGCCAAAGAAUAAAAGAAAGCGAGCCGACACGGGAAAGCAAAGACGUGAUUGAAUUGAAGUCACCGUUUAGGAAGGGAAAUUGGCUAAGGUAAGGGUAACUCAGUUUUAGUGCGUCUUUGAGUCUUGCCUGCUUUUAUCGCACUGCAUGCGUUUGAGAUGAAGAUGUUUAUAUUGAUUGGCAGAUGAAUAUGAUUAUUAUGCUUGCAAUGUUGUAUGCUUGCUUAUAUUGACUGUUUCUGAGGCUUGUGCCAAAUGUUUUCUGAAGGCUUCGGCCGAGUAAACUUAUUGAGACGUGAGUCUCCGUUUUCUGAGAGGCUUCGCCCGUUUACUGGUUUCUGUCAUUGAACUGAGUUGGUAUGCAUUGAAUUGAUUUAUGUUCGUUGAGGUUAUGAAUAACAUGUGGUUACCUUGAUUUGAUUGUUGGAUUUGAGACUGUUGUUCGAGUGAUUACUGAGGUUGAGGAUUGUUGUUGACUAACUCGACAUUUAAGGCUUGAACUUGAAGUGGCAAUGUGGUGGUGAUUGUCCCACGUGAUUGUCCCGUCUUUUAAGGCGUUAUAAAGUGGCGGUGUGGUGGUGAUUGUCCCACGUGAUCGUCCCAUCUUUCGAGAUGUCCUAAAGUGGCAGUGUGGUGGUGAUUGUCCCACGUGAUUGUCCCGUCCGUAGUGGCGUUAAGUGGCGGUGUGGUGGUGAUUGUCUCACGUGAUCGUCCCGUCUUGAGAGACGUUGCUGAUCGAUCCAUAUUGGUAGAAACAUAUAGUCGCAUUAUAGGACACUAACAAUUGAUUAUGUUUAUAUCUGCCUUAAUUCUAUGUGGUUAAUUAUGUUAUUAUCUGAUUCAAUUAUAUGUUGUUGAUUUUGUUGAUAUUUGCCUUGAAAUGUAUUGAUAGCUUAUUUAUCGGAAUGUUUUGGAGUUUUUGAAGUGACGAUGUGGUGGAUAUUGUCCCACGUGAUCGUCCCAUCUUUCGAGAUGUCCUAAAGUGGCAGUGUGGUGGUGAUUGUCCCACGUGAUUGUCCCGUCCGUAGUGGCGUUAAGUGGCGGUGUGGUGGUGAUUGUCCCACGUGAUCGUCCCGUCUUUCGAGACGUUAUCAAGUGGUAGUGGAGUGGACAUUUUCACAUGACUAUCCCGUCCUUCGAGGCGUUACUUAGUGACAGUGGAGUGAAUAUUUUCACAGGACUGUCCCGUCUUGCGAGACGUUAUUGUCUGAUUGAUAUUGUUGAGGAUUGUCGAUAUCUGAAUUGACGAGGUUAUUGAUAGUUGAUUUAAAUCUAUAUUGUUGAAUAUAUGUCGUCAUCUAUCUUGAAUUAGGUUGCUAGCGUAUGUGCCAUGUUAUGCACUUAUAUCUGAAUAGCAUGUUUUUCUCUUUCAUACGUGGUAAUGGCAGGAGUUAACCCUUUCUAUUUGCUACUUGUUGUUUGAGCGCUUAACGCUAUUAGGCGAUGGAGAAUCUUCGACGGAGCUUGACCUUCGUACGAGUCGGAGAGGAGAACUUGAAGAACUGUGGAAGACUUGAAGAAUAUAGUCGGGUGUAGAGUUAGAGAGCUAACCAUUAUUGGUUUAAGCUUGCAUAACGGGUUUAGAAAUUUAUAUUUGAGGUUUCAGGUACUCGCCUUGUUCAAGGCUUGAUGUAAAUCCCUUUGUAGUUGGGAGUAUGCAUGACAUGUUUUGGAAAUACAUUUGAGAAAAAAAAAAUAUACUCGUGUUUAUACA
Long non-coding RNA from Lotus japonicus, 2467 nucleotides. RefSeq lists it as uncharacterized. The transcript is spliced from 3 exons. The record is from RefSeq and is a predicted model, not a curated record. Lineage: Eukaryota; Viridiplantae; Streptophyta; Magnoliopsida; Fabales; Fabaceae.